GCUGUGAUAGCUUAGUGGUUAGAGCAUCAAACGCGCUAUUCGAAGGUCGUAGGUUCGAUUCCUGCUCACGGCA
RNAcentral lists this transfer RNA (73 nucleotides) under Rhipicephalus microplus (southern cattle tick). RNAcentral's name for it is "tRNA-Ala". It matches the Rfam family "tRNA". From Rfam's summary of the family: Transfer RNA (tRNA) molecules are approximately 80 nucleotides in length. Lineage: Eukaryota; Metazoa; Arthropoda; Arachnida; Ixodida; Ixodidae. The record is from Rfam by way of RNAcentral.